UACGAAGGGGGCUAGCGUUGUUCGGAAUUACUGGGCGUAAAGGGCUCGUAGGCGGCCAACUAAGUCAGACGUGAAAUCCCUCAGCUUAACUGGGGAACUGCGUCUGAUACUGGAUGGCUUGAGUUCGGGAGAGGGAUGCGGAAUUCCAGGUGUAGCGGUGAAAUGCGUAGAUAUCUGGAGGAACACCGGUGGCGAAGGCGGCAUCCUGGACCGACACUGACGCUGAGGAGCGAAAGCCAGGGGAGCAAACGGG
RNAcentral lists this ribosomal RNA (253 nucleotides) under uncultured bacterium. Its description in RNAcentral is "partial 16S ribosomal RNA". It matches the Rfam family "Bacterial small subunit ribosomal RNA", at positions 524 to 776 of the family's 1533-position model. The record is from RNAcentral.